GGAGGAAAGCAGGGGAUCGCAAGACCUCGCGCUAUUAGAGUGGCCGAUGUCCGAUUAGCUAGUUGGUGGGGUAAAGGCCCACCAAGGCGACGAUCGGUAGCUGGUCUGAGAGGAUGAUCAGCCACACUGGGACUGAGACACGGCCCAGACUCCUACGGGAGGCAGCAGUGGGGAAUUUUGGACAAUGGGCGCAAGCCUGAUCUAGCCAUGCCGCGUGAGUGAAGAAGGCCUUCGGGUUGUAAAGCUCUUUCGGCCGGAACGAAAUCGACCGAGUUAACACCUCGGUUGGAUGACGGUACCGGAAGAAGAAGCACCGGCUAACUACGUGCCAGCAGCCGCGGUAAUACGUAGGGUGCAGGCGUUAAUCGGAAUUACUGGGCGUAAAGCGUGCGCAGGCGGCUUCCUAAGUCAGAUGUGAAAUCCCCGGGCUUAACCUGGGAACUGCGUUUGAAACUACAAAGCUAG
Molecule: ribosomal RNA, 465 nt
Filed under: Nitrosospira sp. YKU6
Lineage: Bacteria; Pseudomonadati; Pseudomonadota; Betaproteobacteria; Nitrosomonadales; Nitrosomonadaceae
Description: bacterial SSU rRNA
Rfam family: Bacterial small subunit ribosomal RNA
Source: RNAcentral